GACGAACGCUGGCGGCGUGCUUAACACAUGCAAGUCGAACGAAGUGGCGAACGGGUGAGUAACGCGUACUCAACCUGCCCUUCAGAGGGGGACAACAGUUGGAAACGACUGCUAAUACCUCAUACUGAAGGAGGGGCUUGCGUCUGAUUAGCUAGUUGGAGGGGUAACGGCCCACCAAGGCGAUGAUCAGUAGACGGUCUGAGAGGAUGAACGGCCAAAUGGGGACUGGGAAACGGCCCAGACUCCUACGGGAGGCAGCAGUGGGGAAUCUUCCGCAAUGGACGAAAGUCUGACGGAGCAACGCCGCGUGAGUGAUGACGGCCUUCGGGUUGUAAAGCUCUGUUAAUCGGGACGCGGUACCGGAAUAGAAAGCCACGGCUAACUACGUGCCAGCAGCCGCGGUAAUUC
This 408-nucleotide ribosomal RNA is filed under the name uncultured bacterium. RNAcentral describes it as "partial 16S ribosomal RNA". It matches the Rfam family "Bacterial small subunit ribosomal RNA", at positions 28 to 526 of the family's 1533-position model. The record is from RNAcentral.